AGUGAACGCUGGCGGUAGGCCUAACACAUGCAAGUCGAACGGCAGCACAGUAAGAUCUUGCUCUUACGGGUGGCGAGUGGCGGACGGGUGAGGAAUACAUCGGAAUCUUCUUUUACGUGGGGGAUAACGUAGGGAAACUUACGCUAAUACCGCAUACGACCUACGGGUUAAAGCAGGGGAUCUUCAGACCUUUCGCGAUUGAAUUAGCUGAUUUCGGAUUAGCUAGUUGGCGAGGUAAAGGCCCACCAAGGCAACGAUCCGUAGCUGGUCUGAGAGGAUGAUCAGCCACACUGGAACUGAGACACGGUCCAGACUCCUACGGGAGGCAGCAGUGGGGAAUAUUGGACAAUGGGCGAAAGCCUGACGGAGCAACGCCGCGUGAGUGAAGAAGGCCUUCGGAUUGUAAAGCUCUUUUAUUGGGGAAGAACAGAAGUAGGUGAAUCCCUCCACGUCUUGACGGUACCCAAAGAGAAAGCACCGGCUAACUUCGUG
RNAcentral lists this ribosomal RNA (492 nucleotides) under uncultured bacterium. RNAcentral describes it as "partial 16S ribosomal RNA". It matches the Rfam family "Bacterial small subunit ribosomal RNA", at positions 29 to 507 of the family's 1533-position model. The record is from RNAcentral.